CCUACGGGAGGCAGCAGUGGGGAAUAUUGCACAAUGGGGGAAACCCUGAUGCAGCGACGCCGCGUGGGUGACGAAGUAUUUCGGUAUGUAAAGCCCUAUCAGCAGGGAAGAAGAUGACAGUACCUGACCAAGAAGCCCCGGCUAACUACGUGCCAGCAGCCGCGGUAAUACGUAGGGGGCAAGCGUUAGCCGGAUUUACUGGGUGUAAAGGGAGCGUAGGUGGCAUGGCAAGCCAGAAGUGAAAACCCGGGGCUUAACCCCGCGGAUUGCUUUUGGAACUGUCAGGCUGGAGUGCAGGAGGGGCAGGCGGAAUUCCUGGUGUAGCGGUGAAAUGCGUAGAUAUCAGGAGGAACACCGGUGGCGAAGGCGGCCUGCUGGACUGUAACUGACACUGAGGCUCGAAAGCGUGGGGAGCAAACAGGAUUAGAUACCCCUGUAGUC
RNAcentral lists this ribosomal RNA (441 nucleotides) under uncultured bacterium. Its description in RNAcentral is "partial 16S ribosomal RNA". It matches the Rfam family "Bacterial small subunit ribosomal RNA", at positions 338 to 795 of the family's 1533-position model. The record is from RNAcentral.